This 72-nucleotide transfer RNA is filed under the name Camelus bactrianus (Bactrian camel). It matches the Rfam family "tRNA". Rfam says of the family: Transfer RNA (tRNA) molecules are approximately 80 nucleotides in length. The record is from Rfam by way of RNAcentral. Lineage: Eukaryota; Metazoa; Chordata; Mammalia; Artiodactyla; Camelidae. RNAcentral also lists the same sequence under 2 other names.
AGUAGUAUAGCUCAGUAGUAGAGUGCAUGCUUAGCAUGCAUGAGGUCCUAGGUUCAGUCCCCAGUACCUCUG